GAUUCAGCUAUUGUCCUUAAUUUUGUUGUAUUUGGAAUGUAACUGAAUUCAUUGGAUUUAAUUAAUUUGAAGAUAUUAUUUCAUAGACUAUAAAAUAUUGAAUUUAAUAACAUUUCUAGAAUAACAUUUUGGUGGAAUUAACUUAACAUUUAAUAACAAUGACUUUCUAAAUUCAACUUGAUCAUUAUUUGCAAGUAAUUUAAGUGCUGUUGGUCU
Molecule: unclassified non-coding RNA, 216 nt
Filed under: Hevea brasiliensis (rubber tree)
Lineage: Eukaryota; Viridiplantae; Streptophyta; Magnoliopsida; Malpighiales; Euphorbiaceae
Source: RNAcentral